CUAAAAUAAAAUAAGAUAAUAAGUAUGCUUAGUCAAUUUGUAACGUGGUAUAAUAGAGGCAUCUGCAAUAAAAUAAGUGGGUUUCCAAGACCUGACAAGUGAGGGCAACUUAAUAUAACAUAUGUCUACAGUUUGCUGUCCCUUCCUUAUCAGAGGCCACUUGCAACACAGCAAGACAACUCUUCCGAAACCUGUAUUAAACAAAGCACUUUAGAAUAAUAGUAAUUUAUUUUGUUUCUCCUAUUUCAUUCCUAGUUGUUCUGAAAAAAAAUAUAUUGUUUAAGUGGGAUAACUGUAUGGAGGUUCCACCAUGUAUUAAAACAU
Molecule: non-coding RNA, 324 nt
Organism: Pelobates cultripes (western spadefoot toad)
Lineage: Eukaryota; Metazoa; Chordata; Amphibia; Anura; Pelobatidae
Source: the annotation of a GenBank genome assembly